This 443-nucleotide ribosomal RNA is filed under the name uncultured soil bacterium. Its description in RNAcentral is "bacterial SSU rRNA". It matches the Rfam family "Bacterial small subunit ribosomal RNA", at positions 26 to 518 of the family's 1533-position model. The record is from RNAcentral.
AGAACGAACGCUGGCGGCAUGCCUAAUACAUGCAAGUCGAACGAACUCUUCGGAGUUAGUGGCGCACGGGUGCGUAACGCGUGGGAAUCUGCCCCUUGGUUCGGAAUAACAGUUGGAAACGACUGCUAAUACCGGAUGAUGACGAAAGUCCAAAGAUUUAUCGCCAAGGGAUGAGCCCGCGUAGGAUUAGCUAGUUGGUGAGGUAAAGGCUCACCAAGGCAACGAUCCUUAGCUGGUCUGAGAGGAUGAUCAGCCACACUGGGACUGAGACACGGCCCAGACUCCUACGGAAGGCAGCAGUGGGGAAUAUGGACAAUGGGCGAAAGCCUGAUCCAGCAAUGCCGCGUGAGUGAUGAAGGCCUUAGGUUGUAAAGCUCUUUUACCCGGGAAGAUAAUGACUGUACCGGAGAAUAAGCUCCGGCUAACUCCGUGCCAGCAGCCGC